GACGAACGCUGGCGGCGUGCCUAAUACAUGCAAGUCGAACGCAUUUUCUUUCACCGUAGCUUGCUACACCGAAAGAAAAUGAGUGGCGAACGGGUGAGUAACACGUGGGUAACCUGCCCAUCAGCGGGGGAUAACACUUGGAAACAGGUGCUAAUACCGCAUAAUUCCAUUUACUGCAUGGUAGAUGGAUGAAAGGCGCUUUUGCGUCACUGAUGGAUGGACCCGCGGUGCAUUAGCUAGUUGGUGGGGUAACGGCCUACCAAGGCUGCGAUGCAUAGCCGACCUGAGAGGGUGAUCGGCCACACUGGGACUGAGACACGGCCCAGACUCCUACGGGAGGCAGCAGUAGGGAAUCUUCGGCAAUGGACGCAAGUCUGACCGAGCAACGCCGCGUGAGUGAAGAAGGUUUUCGGAUCGUAAAACUCUGUUGUUAGAAAAGAACAAGGAUGAGAGUGGAAAGUUCAUCCCUUGACGGUAUCUAACCAGAAAGCCACGGCUAACUACGU
This 506-nucleotide ribosomal RNA is filed under the name uncultured bacterium. RNAcentral describes it as "partial 16S ribosomal RNA". It matches the Rfam family "Bacterial small subunit ribosomal RNA", at positions 28 to 506 of the family's 1533-position model. The record is from RNAcentral.